UACGUAGGGUGCGAGCGUUGUCCGGAAUUAUUGGGCGUAAAGAGCUCGUAGGCGGUCUGUCGCGUCGGUCGUGAAAACUUGGGGCUUAACCCUGAGCUUGCGGUCGAUACGGGCAUGACUGGAGUUCGGCAGGGGAGACUGGAAUUCCUGGUGUAGCGGUGAAAUGCGCAGAUAUCAGGAGGAACACCAGUAGCGAAGGCGGCACUCUGGGCCGGUACUGACGCUGAGGAGCGAAAGCGUGGGGAGCGAACAGG
Molecule: ribosomal RNA, 254 nt
Filed under: uncultured bacterium
Lineage: Bacteria
Description: partial 16S ribosomal RNA
Rfam family: Bacterial small subunit ribosomal RNA
Source: RNAcentral